GACGAACCGAGCGAACGUUGUUCGGAAUCACUGGGCUUAAAGGGCGCGUAGGCGGGUGCUCAAGUCCGUGGUGAAAUCCUCCGGCUCAACCGGAGAACUGCCUCGGAUACUGGGUGCCUCGAGGGUGGUAGGGGUAUGCGGAACUAUCGGUGGAGCGGUGAAAUGCGUUGAUAUCGCUAGGAACUCCGGUGGCGAAGGCGAGGUGCUGGACCCUUUCUGACGCUGAGGCGCGAAAGCCAGGGGAGCGAACGGG
RNAcentral lists this ribosomal RNA (253 nucleotides) under uncultured bacterium. RNAcentral describes it as "partial 16S ribosomal RNA". It matches the Rfam family "Bacterial small subunit ribosomal RNA", at positions 524 to 776 of the family's 1533-position model. The record is from RNAcentral.